AAUCUACAGGAAGGUCGGUCUCCAGGUGCAGGGAAAGUGACCACUGCAAUAAAGGAACUUCUUACUUCAUUGAACUGGAAUCAGUGCUCUUGUUCUGGGGAAAGAAAAGCAUCUUUCAAAUACAAAGCCAUUUUCUUCUUGGGAAUCAAAUAUCAACAGACAAGCUGGGACACACCGCAUCCAGAAGUGCUUUGCGGGAUUGGACAUGGCUAGAAAUGAGAGUAUUGGCUCUGUGCCUUGAGGUCAAGGCUGUUCACCAACUGUCAACUGCAAAUGUCACUUUUUCCCUCUCAGUUCUCUAUCGUUCAUGGAACAGUUAAAAAGAGGUGUGGCUGUUUAGAGGCUGCCGAAGGAACUUGCUUGUGCUUGGAGCUGGAGAACCACUUCUGCCUCUACCUGUCAGACAGGUAACGGCUGCAGCGCAGCGAACUUGAGAGUGGUAUGUGUGUGUGUGUGAAUGUGCUUGUGAACGCACAUUAACGCACAUGUGGGUAGCACAGGCACUUCACCUGCUUUCUAAUCACUUUACCUGUCAGUUGAAGGCUCACUCUCACAGUAAGGCUUAAGAGGAGAUGUGUUUGUUCUGCUCAUCUUACCUCAGGGCAGUCGAACAUCCUUGCACACAAAUAAAUGGUCUAUUAGAUAUGUAAAAACAA
Long non-coding RNA from Pygocentrus nattereri (red-bellied piranha), 656 nucleotides. RefSeq lists it as uncharacterized. The transcript has 2 exons. The record is from RefSeq and is a predicted model, not a curated record. NCBI's taxonomy places the organism in Eukaryota, Metazoa, Chordata, Actinopteri, Characiformes, Serrasalmidae.